AUUUAUCAAGUUUUGGCCAAGAUUGAGGGUAUUGCUUAAUAAAGUACUAAAGAAAAAAAAAGCACUAACAAGCACAUAGAUUUAAAACACAAAUUCAAACACAAUUGUGUUUGGGAUCGUCCAAUGCAUACAUAUAUUCGGACGGUUCCGGAUAAAGUUGUGUCAGGAUUAAUGUUUUAAGUUUGUGUUCCUAGACUUUAAAAAAAAAAAAAAUGAGACAACAAGUCAUUGCAUGACACUUAAGCUUUGACACUUUUAUUAGAGUUGUUUCACAUGCCAAUUUUUUCACUUGGUAUGUCACGUCAAAUUUGAUAUCUUUCGUUGGAGAUGCUCGCAACCAAGCAUUGAAGUCUUGUAAUAGUGGUUGUAUUUUGAAGAUAGAGUAUUUGGAUCGAUGGAGUUUGUAAAUAGUAAACAUUCUAAAAGUACUUUGUGAAUCGAAUACUAUGCAUGGUUCAUUGGUUAUAGCCCCACAAAUAGAGAUUAGAGGGUAUUGGGUCGGGGAUUCUCUAAGGCGUAAGACCAAAUUGUUCAUUUUAACCUAAUUUAUUCAAAAAGUGCAUCUAAAAUUCUAGAGUAUGUAGCUAUUUACACACAUUCUAAUGACAUUUUACCUAAUUUGAUUUGGCU
Molecule: long non-coding RNA, 630 nt
Organism: Rhododendron vialii
Lineage: Eukaryota; Viridiplantae; Streptophyta; Magnoliopsida; Ericales; Ericaceae
Exons: 2
Source: RefSeq, a predicted model, not a curated record